This 74-nucleotide transfer RNA is filed under the name Planctomycetota bacterium. Its description in RNAcentral is "Planctomycetes bacterium (marine metagenome) tRNA-His". It matches the Rfam family "tRNA". Rfam says of the family: Transfer RNA (tRNA) molecules are approximately 80 nucleotides in length. Their secondary structure includes four short double-helical elements and three loops (D, anti-codon, and T loops). The record is from RNAcentral. Lineage: Bacteria; Pseudomonadati; Planctomycetota.
GUGGUUAUAGCUCAGUUGGUUAGAGCGCUGGAUUGUGGUUCCAGAGGUCGCCGGUUCAAAUCCGGUUAGCCACC